Small nuclear RNA from Octopus sinensis (East Asian common octopus), 103 nucleotides. The record is from RefSeq and is a predicted model, not a curated record. NCBI's taxonomy places the organism in Eukaryota, Metazoa, Mollusca, Cephalopoda, Octopoda, Octopodidae.
UUGUUUUUGCAGUACAUAUUGUAAAAUAGUAAAGAUACAGAGAAGAUUAGUAUAGUUCCUGUGCAAGGAUGACAUGCAAAUUCAUGAAGCUUUCCAUAUUUUG